AGUAUUGUUUCUUUCUCUAUGCUCUGCUGCCUCUCAGUGACUACUGGGAUCCUCUUAAAAUCUUUUCAAUUACAACAUAUCACCACAGCCAUGAGAUACAGAAAUCUAAGUCCUGGGCGCUGUUCUGUUCCUGAUGUGACUUCAAGCAGAACACUUCCCUUUCUGGGUCUCAGUUCCUCCACCACAGAGACUAGAAAAGGGACACUUAGCCAGAGGUCCCACUGAUAAUAGCAAGGAGUGGGGCGCUGGGUUUGUUAAAAGAAGAAACAACUUCCGUCUCCCACUCUCAGCUGCGACUCUUCAGGGGCAAGAUUUCUCACAGCUUUUCUUCUAAGGUUUCUUCCAGUUUUGGCCUCCCAUGAUUCCAUACCUCCUGGAGGGGAAAGAGUGCUGAAUUUGGAGUCAGCUCAAGUUUGAACUUCACUGCUGAUUGCCUGUCAGAGUGCUCUGCACACAGCAGGUGCUGGAUAAGUGUGGGCAGGACUGAAUUAUAUGGGGACUCUUGAAACCGGUAAUAUUGGCACCUGGGCUGGCUGGAGGGUCCAAUCACUUCUGAUGGGAUGCACCAAGAAAGAGGGAAGGUAUCUGACCACACAGCGCAUGGCUAGCCCCAAGACGUUACAAGAACCCAUGAAGAGGCUGGAGACACAGAAACUGCCAGUAAUCCAAGCAGAAGGCCUUUAGCUUGAGCAUUUUCAAAUACUCUGCCGACCCUCUGUGCCUGAGAAGAUAAGAAUACUGAGACCCAGAGAAGUUAAGUGACGGGCCCAUGCAGGUAGCAAGUGACAGAGCUAUGACAAUCUUCCAG
Non-coding RNA from Phascolarctos cinereus (koala), 808 nucleotides. The record is from RefSeq and is a predicted model, not a curated record. NCBI's taxonomy places the organism in Eukaryota, Metazoa, Chordata, Mammalia, Diprotodontia, Phascolarctidae.